GACAGGCAUAUAUUAGCAUAAAGACUCGUCUUUAGCGCUAAUUGUUAAAUAUGCUAGUCCUUUCAUGAUUAUGUGAUAGGUGGUGCAUGGCCGUUCUUAGUUCGUGGAGUGAUCUGUCUGCUUAAUUGCGUUUCACUAAGGGCCCAUAAAUUCAAGGUAUGUUAGCAAAUGCUGCUCUAUUGACCCCUAAUAGGCUUAACUGUCUUUAGCGCGUGUCUCUACGAGUUCUUUAAAGCACUGCGCAUGCUGUUGGGUCCUGAAAGCAACGAACGUGACCGCAACGUCUUGUUGCCUCUCUAUAAUAUCUUCUUAUUUUUAAUAAGAGUAUUUACCUGAGGCUAUUUUAAAACUAGACGGACCGCUGUUUCUUUCUUAAACCAGAGGAAGGUUGCGGCAAUAACAGGUCUGUGAUGCCCUUAGAUGUUCCGG
RNAcentral lists this ribosomal RNA (429 nucleotides) under Globorotalia inflata. RNAcentral describes it as "bacterial SSU rRNA". It matches the Rfam family "Eukaryotic small subunit ribosomal RNA", at positions 1242 to 1485 of the family's 1831-position model. The record is from RNAcentral. Lineage: Eukaryota; Foraminifera; Rotaliida; Globorotaliidae.